UGGGGAAUAUUCCACAAUGGGGGAAACCCUGAUGCAGCGACGCCGCGUGAGCGAAGAAGGUUUUCGAAUUGUACAGCUCUGUCCUAUGGGAAGAUAAUGAUGGUACCAUAGGAGGCAGCCCCGUCUAACUACGUGCCAGCAUCCGCGGCAAUACGUAGGGGGCAGGCGUUGUCCGGAAUCACUGGGCGUCAAGGGUUCGCAGGCGGAAAUGCAAGUCAGUUGUGAAAGGCAGAGGCUCCACCUCUGUAAGCAAUUGAAACUGUAUUUCUUGAGAUGUGGAGAGGCAAGUGGAAUUCCUAGUGUAGCGGUGAAAUGCGUAGAUAUGAGGAAGAAUACCGGUGGCGAAGGCGACUUGCUGGACACAAACUGACGCUGAGGAACGAAAGCGUGGGUAGCAAAGAGG
RNAcentral lists this ribosomal RNA (403 nucleotides) under Fusobacteriota bacterium. RNAcentral's name for it is "Fusobacteria bacterium partial 16S ribosomal RNA". It matches the Rfam family "Bacterial small subunit ribosomal RNA", at positions 355 to 776 of the family's 1533-position model. The record is from RNAcentral. Lineage: Bacteria; Fusobacteriati; Fusobacteriota.